This 481-nucleotide long non-coding RNA is filed under the name Pan troglodytes (chimpanzee). RNAcentral's name for it is "long non-coding RNA NONPTRT010428". The record is from RNAcentral. Lineage: Eukaryota; Metazoa; Chordata; Mammalia; Primates; Hominidae.
CCCACACUACAGGCCAGCACUGUGGGCUCUCAGUUUAUUGGGAAAUGGAAAUAAGAGGGAAGGACAAAAGUCCACUGGGAAGCAGACUGGACAGAAAGGAACUCUGAGCAGCUAAACUCUGACUAAUCCCAGGGUAUACCUGCGUUUUCUCUUCACCAGACAAACUGCGGCCUGGACCAGCUGGUGAAACAUAAUUCUGAAUCCUGCCCACAGCCUUCGGUGGUUUUGGAUGAAAGGCCAGCGCCUUGGGAGCCCUGCGUUUGAUUUCAAGUUUUAAGGCCGGCACUGGUGGAGCAAUGAAUGGUGAAAGCUCUCCCCUUAAAGGAGCACAGUUGCCUUUAGGUGACUGCUAACUCAGGCUUUUGCUGAGGACAGUGUUUACUUUGUGAGCUUAAUGACAGGGCUGGCUUUCUGGGAGUGUUGCAAUGAAACAGACUCAGACACAGGCCAUCAUGGGCCUCCUCCCUAGCAAGGCCGCCAC